CCAGACUACUAUUCCUUUCGAGAUUCAAGAUCUUAUAAGCCAGGAAGAGAGCAUGAAAGAUCCCAGCCAUGGAGAGGAGGUCAGUCAUCUAAAAGAGGUGCAAAAUCAAGAGGCGCCUCAUUCCACAAGAAUAUGACGGGUUCCCCCCCAGUCAGUAAGAGUGGGAGCACGUCUGUUACUUUUCCAAGAAGCAUGGGAACAAUCCACCACAGACAGAUG
Non-coding RNA from Pelobates cultripes (western spadefoot toad), 219 nucleotides. The record is from the annotation of a GenBank genome assembly. NCBI's taxonomy places the organism in Eukaryota, Metazoa, Chordata, Amphibia, Anura, Pelobatidae.